RNAcentral lists this ribosomal RNA (879 nucleotides) under Triticum aestivum (bread wheat). RNAcentral describes it as "partial small subunit ribosomal RNA". Lineage: Eukaryota; Viridiplantae; Streptophyta; Magnoliopsida; Poales; Poaceae. The record is from RNAcentral.
AUGCACUUUCUUCCCCGUCUUCCACUCUUCUUCCUGCUCUCUUCCCCAUCGUCGGCCGCACACCAUUUACCCCCGCUCACUGCUCGCCCGCCCGCGCCAUCUUCCUUGGUAGCUCGCGUGUACCAUAUCCCCCCGCUCACUGCUCGGCCACACGAGGAGAAGCUUCUUCGCUCGCCCGCCCGAAUCCACUUCCCCGACCUGGAAUCAUACCAGCCGAUGGUACCAUAUAACUGGAAUUACCGAUGCAAGUCGAAGAAGGAUUGGCCGGUGCUGCCGGCUGGCGUCAAGUUCGAUCCCACGGAUCAGGAGCUGAUCGAGCACCUUGAGGCCAAAGUGAGUGCUGACAGCGCGAGAUUUCAGUCUCUCAUCGAUUUGUUCAUACCAACCAUCGACAGCGAGCACGGCAUAUGCUACACCCAACCUGAGAAACUUCCAGCGCAAUUCCAGGGCAUUCAAAAGGGGCACGUGGACGCGUCGCAAGAUACAGUCGGAGUGCGGCAUGCACGCGAUGUGGCACAAGACCGGCAAUACCUUGCCGGUGAUGGUCAACGGCCGGCAAGACGGGCAGCAAAAAAGGUUCUGGUGCUGCACACCAACAAGAACUUCGACCAGCAGAGGACCAACUGGGUGAUGCACCAGUACCACCUCGGGGACCUGGAGCAAGAGAAGGAGCGGGAGCUGGUGCUCUGCAAGAUUUUCUACCAGACGAACACUAGGGCCAGGAGUCGAGCAAGUUUCAACUGGGCUGUAGACUGCCCAGGGUUGGUUUUGUUUUUAACAGGCCCCGCCCAUGACGACAACGGGGCACAAAGAUCCAGCAGGGUGAAAGGUGGAAGGAUCAACUCACAAGAUUUACUGCAGAGAGAGAUAUUGCCAUAA